UACGAAGGGGGCUAGCGUUGCUCGGAAUCACUGGGCGUAAAGGGUGCGUAGGCGGGUCUUUAAGUCAGGGGUGAAAUCCUGGAGCUCAACUCCAGAACUGCCUUUGAUACUGAAGGUCUUGAGUUCGGGAGAGGUGAGUGGAACUGCGAGUGUAGAGGUGAAAUUCGUAGAUAUUCGCAAGAACACCAGUGGCGAAGGCGGCUCACUGGCCCGAUACUGACGCUGAGGCACGAAAGCGUGGGGAGCAAACAGG
RNAcentral lists this ribosomal RNA (253 nucleotides) under uncultured bacterium. RNAcentral's name for it is "partial 16S ribosomal RNA". It matches the Rfam family "Bacterial small subunit ribosomal RNA", at positions 524 to 776 of the family's 1533-position model. The record is from RNAcentral.